This 486-nucleotide ribosomal RNA is filed under the name uncultured bacterium. Its description in RNAcentral is "partial 16S ribosomal RNA". It matches the Rfam family "Bacterial small subunit ribosomal RNA", at positions 28 to 507 of the family's 1533-position model. The record is from RNAcentral.
GAUGAACGCUGGCGGCGUGCCUAAUACAUGCAAGUCGAACGCUGGAAAUCUAGCUUGCUCGAUUGAAGGAGUGGCGAACGGGUGAGUAAUACAUAAGCAACCUACCCACGAAGACUGGGAUAAUCUCUGGAAACGGGGACUAAUACCGGAUAGGUAUUCGGAAGGCAUCUUCUGAUUAUUAAAGGUUAAAAACACUGGUGGAUGGGGUUAUGGCGCAUUCGUUAGUUGGUGAGGUAACGGCCCACCAAUACGAUGAUGCGUAUCCGGCCUGGGAGUGUGACAGGCCAGAUUGGGACUGAGACACGGCCCAGAAUGCUACGGGAGGCAGCAGUAGGGAAUGUUCGGCAAUGGGGGAUACCCGGACCGAGCAACGCCGCGUGAGUGAUGCCUGCCUUCGGGUUGUAAAGCUCUGUGGUAAGGAAAGAACGGUAGAUAGAGAAUAUCGAAAUGACGGUACCUUACCAGAAAGCCACGGCUAACUACGUG